RNAcentral lists this small RNA (215 nucleotides) under Theobroma cacao (cacao). RNAcentral's name for it is "sRNA Tc02v2_g022190". Lineage: Eukaryota; Viridiplantae; Streptophyta; Magnoliopsida; Malvales; Malvaceae. The record is from RNAcentral.
UUGGUGAAAAUUCAAGGAAACAUGUGACAAAAGGUGGUGAGCAAAGUACACUGGUAAAAGUACAGAGAUUGUGCUUGGAGAUUGGGAUUAGAAGUACAUUGACUCCUAAAACUGCUCGAGGAAUUCUAUAGUUAGCUGACUUUGACAAGGACUUUCAUUUGGACUUGAAUCAGCAAAAGCUGUAGGCUUUCAGCUUUCGAUGCAUUUUGGUUAGA